This 253-nucleotide ribosomal RNA is filed under the name uncultured bacterium. Its description in RNAcentral is "partial 16S ribosomal RNA". It matches the Rfam family "Bacterial small subunit ribosomal RNA", at positions 524 to 776 of the family's 1533-position model. The record is from RNAcentral.
UACGUAGGGUGCGAGCGUUGUCCGGAGUUACUGGGCGUAAAGGGCAUGCAGGCGGUCCGACACGUUUUGUGUGACAGCGGGUGGCUUAACUACCCGAGGAUACGAAAGACGGUUGGACUUGAGGACUCGAGAGGGACACGGAAUUCCGGGUGGAGUGGUGAAAUGCGCAGAUAUCAGGAAGAACACCCGUGGCGAAGGCGGCUCUCUGGGACGGUACUGACGCUGAGACGCGAAAGCGUGGGGAGCGAACAGG